AUGGCUGCUGGAGACGGCGAGCCGGUGCUACAGUUGAAGAGCGUGUGCGUUGUGGGGGCCGGCAUGGCCGGCUUGGCGGCGGCGCGCGAGCUGCGGCGGGAGGGUCACGCGGUCACGGUCAUGGAGCAGAGCAGCGACGUCGGCGGGCAGUGGCUGUACGACCCCAGGACGGACGUCGUGGACCCGCUCGGCGCCGUGGAGCCGGUGCGCGUGCCAAGCAGCAUAUACGCAUGCCUUCGUCUCACCAGCCCGCGGGAGGUCAUGGGCUUCUCCGACUUCCAGUUCCUGCCCCGGGAGGGCGCCGGCCGCGACCUGCGCCGCUACCCCGGCCACCGCGAGCUGCACUGCUACCUCCGGAACUUCUGCGACGCGUUUGGCCUCAUGGACGCCGUCAAGCUCGACACCCGGGUCCUGAGGGUCGCCCCCGUGGCGAUGUCGAUGUCGACAACAACGCGCCGGUGGGCGGUGAGGUCCGUGCGGCGCCUCAGUGGCACCGAUGAUGAUGAUGAUGCGGGGAAAGAUGAGGAGGUGUUCGACGCCGUUGUCGUGGCUACAGGCAACUACGCGCAGAGGAUGCUGCCGAGCGACAUCCAGGGCAUGGGGGAAUGGAGGCGCCGGCAGCUGCACAGCCACUCGUACAGGACGCCGGUGCCGUUCCAUGACGAGGCCGUGGUGGUGGUCGGGUGCGGGGCCAGUGGCAAGGACAUCGCGCUAGACCUCGGCCGCGUCGCGAGGGAGGUGCACCUCGCCGCCAGCUCCGAGGCCGAGGCCGCCACGCCGGCAAUGUCGAGGAUGCUGGCCAACCACGGCGACGUCCUGCGCCUCCACCCGCGGGUACGCCAGCUACACACGGACGGGCAGGUAGAGUUCACAGACGGAUCCUCCGUCAUGGCCGACACGGUCAUCUACUGCACGGGUUAUGCCUACUCGUUCCCCUUCCUGGACACCGGCGGCGCGGUCACCGUGAGCGACGACGGCUACGUGGUCGGGCCGCUGUUCGAGCACGUGUUCCCACCGUCCCUGGCGCCGACGCUCUCCUUCGUGGGCGUGCCGAGGAAGGUCCUGAUCCCAUGGUUCUUCGAGGUGCAGGCGCGGUGGGUGGCGCAGGUGCUGUCCGGCCGGCGCACGCUGCCGUCAGAGGACCAGAUGCUGCGGUCAGUGGAGGAGCAGCUGCGCGCCAGGGAGGCCGCCGGCGUGGCGAGGAAGCACACGCACAACAUUGCCAGCGUCGAACCUCGAGAUAUGUACGAGUUCGGGGAGAAGUACUGCGACUUCACCCCGACGGAGGAGUGGAAGAAGGAGCUGAUCCUGUCCAGCAACGCGAGCAUGGAUGAUGACGUCGAGACCUUCCGCGACCGCGCCGCCGACGACAGCGAGAAGGUCCGGAAGGGUGUACAAGGAUGGCUCGGCGGCUUAGUUGCUCAAGCUCAAGAAGAAACUGCUGUUAAAACUGAAGACUCGCAAGCCCACGAGGCCCGGCAGGCCCCUGGCCUCACGAACCGGGACCAAUGGGCCCAUGGGUUCCGGUUCGUGACCGAACCGGAACUAAUGGGCUAA
Molecule: ribosomal RNA, 1557 nt
Filed under: Triticum aestivum (bread wheat)
Lineage: Eukaryota; Viridiplantae; Streptophyta; Magnoliopsida; Poales; Poaceae
Description: partial small subunit ribosomal RNA
Source: RNAcentral